CCUAUUAGCUAGUUGGUGAGGUAACGGCUCACCAAGGCUACGAUAGGUAGCCGGCCUGAGAGGGUGAACGGCCACACUGGAACUGAGACACGGUCCAGACUCCUACGGGAGGCAGCAGUGGGGAAUAUUGCACAAUGGAGGAAACUCUGAUGCAGCGACGCCGCGUGAAUGAUGAAGGCCUUCGGGUCGUAAAAUUCUGUCCUUGGGGAAGAUAAUGACGGUACCCAAGGAGGAAGCCCCGGCUAACUACGUGCCAGCAGCCGCGGUAAUACGUAGGGGGCGAGCGUUGUCCGGAAUUAUUGGGCGUAAAGGGUUCGCAGGCGGUCUGAUAAGUCAGAUGUGAAAGGCUAUGGCUUAACCAUAGUAAGCAUUUGAAACUGUCAGACUUGAGUUAAGGAGAGGAAAGUGGAAUUCCUAGUGUAGCGGUGAAAUGCGUAGAUAUUAGGAGGAAUACCAGUGGCGAAGGCGACUUUCUGGACUUAUACUGACGCUGAGGAACGAAAGCGUGGGGAGCAAACAGGAUUAGAUACCCUGGUAGUCCACGCCGUAAACGAUGAGUGCUAGGUGUUGGGGGUCAAACCUCGGUGCCGCAGCUAACGCAUUAAGCACUCCGCCU
Molecule: ribosomal RNA, 616 nt
Filed under: bacterium 070507-OL-KR40-SRB 1-0 1000x -1A
Lineage: Bacteria
Description: bacterial SSU rRNA
Rfam family: Bacterial small subunit ribosomal RNA
Source: RNAcentral